CUGACCGUAAACGAUGCCAACUAGCGAUCCGCCGGUGGAUUUUUAGCCCUGGUGGGUAGCUUCCCGGAAACGAAAGUCUUCCGGUUCCGGGGGAAGUAUGGUUGCAAAGCUGAAACUUAAAGGAAUUGACGGAAGGGCACCACCAGGAGUGGAGCCUGCGGCUUAAUUUGACUCAACACGGGGAAACUCACCCGGCCCGGACACCGUAAGGAUUGACAGAUUGAUAGCUCUUUCAUGAUUCGGUGGUUGGUGGUGCAUGGCCGUUCUUAGUUCGUGGAUCGAUUUGUCUGGUUUAUUCCGAUAACGAGCGAGACUCUAGCCUACUAAAUAGUAACGAGAUUAUCAAUGUCUCAGUUGCUUCUUAGAGGGAUUUUCGGUGUUUAGCCGCACGAGAUUGAGCAAUAACAGGUCUGUGAUGCCCUUAGAUGUCCGGGGCUGCACGCGCGCUACACUGGCGAAAUCAGCGUGCUGUAUCCAUUCUCGAAAGGGAUUGGUAAACCCAUGAAAAUUUGCCGUGCUUGGGAUCGGAAAUUGCAAUUAUUUUCCGUGAACGAGGAAUUC
This 561-nucleotide ribosomal RNA is filed under the name Cephalobidae environmental sample. Its description in RNAcentral is "SSU rRNA". It matches the Rfam family "Eukaryotic small subunit ribosomal RNA", at positions 1026 to 1613 of the family's 1831-position model. The record is from RNAcentral. Lineage: Eukaryota; Metazoa; Nematoda; Chromadorea; Rhabditida; Cephalobidae.